This 64-nucleotide transfer RNA is filed under the name Monodelphis domestica (gray short-tailed opossum). It matches the Rfam family "tRNA", at positions 5 to 66 of the family's 71-position model. From Rfam's summary of the family: Transfer RNA (tRNA) molecules are approximately 80 nucleotides in length. Their secondary structure includes four short double-helical elements and three loops (D, anti-codon, and T loops). The record is from Rfam by way of RNAcentral. Lineage: Eukaryota; Metazoa; Chordata; Mammalia; Didelphimorphia; Didelphidae.
CUUUAGUGCAGUAGGCAGCACAUCAGUCUCAUAAACUGAAGGUCCUGAGUUCCCUACUCGAAAG